RNAcentral lists this ribosomal RNA (503 nucleotides) under uncultured bacterium. RNAcentral describes it as "bacterial SSU rRNA". It matches the Rfam family "Bacterial small subunit ribosomal RNA", at positions 30 to 524 of the family's 1533-position model. The record is from RNAcentral.
AUUGAACGCUGGCGGCAUGCUUUACACAUGCAAGUCGAACGGCAGCACGGGGGCAACCCUGGUGGCGAGUGGCGAACGGGUGAGUAAUAUAUCGGAACGUACCCGGAAAUGGGGGAUAACGUAGCGAAAGUUACGCUAAUACCGCAUAUGCCCUAAGGGGGAAAGCGGGGGAUUCGCAAGAACCUCGCGUUUUCGGAGCGGCCGAUAUCGGAUUAGCUAGUAGGUGAGGUAAAGGCUCACCUAGGCGACGAUCCGUAGCUGGUCUGAGAGGACGACCAGCCACACUGGAACUGAGACACGGUCCAGACUCCUACGGGAGGCAGCAGUGGGGAAUUCUGGACAAUGGGCGAAAGCCUGAUCCAGCCAUGCCGCGUGUCUGAAGAAGGCCUCGGGUUGUAAGGACUUUGUCUAGGGAGGCAAAACUUACUGGUUAAUACCCGGUGAGGCUGAGAGUACCUGAAGAAUAAGCACCGGCUAACUACGUAGCCAGCAGCCGCGGUAAU